RNAcentral lists this transfer RNA (85 nucleotides) under Felis catus (domestic cat). It matches the Rfam family "tRNA". Rfam says of the family: Transfer RNA (tRNA) molecules are approximately 80 nucleotides in length. Their secondary structure includes four short double-helical elements and three loops (D, anti-codon, and T loops). The record is from Rfam by way of RNAcentral. Lineage: Eukaryota; Metazoa; Chordata; Mammalia; Carnivora; Felidae.
GCCUGGGUGGCUCAGUCGGUUGAGCGUCCGACUUCAGCUCAGGUCACGAUCUCACGGUCCGUGAGUUCGAGCCCCACUUCGGGCU